RNAcentral lists this long non-coding RNA (681 nucleotides) under Oryctolagus cuniculus (rabbit). RNAcentral describes it as "lncRNA (ENSOCUG00000038622.1)". The record is from RNAcentral. Lineage: Eukaryota; Metazoa; Chordata; Mammalia; Lagomorpha; Leporidae.
AUGCUCUUCAUUCCAGAUCCUGUGGCAUCUCUGUGUUGCAUGAACAAAGAGCACCUUGAUCAGGGCCACGAUGGGGGUCUCCCUUGCUUCUCUGGAGCUUGCUAUAGUGAGAAAAACACUCAUUCUUUCAUGGUUGGAGAAAACGUGAAAGCGAGAGCGGCUUCUGCAGUUAGGAGAUGGGGUAAACGACCCUCUCCUGAAGUCCAUCCUAGUCGGGGCUGCUUCCAGAUGCACUUGGGAUGUGUCUGGUCUUAUCCAAAUGGCUUGGAGAGAUGGGAAGAGAAAUGUGAAUGUACCACGGAAGUGAUGGGACCACAUUGCCAGGAGUUUAUCCCUCACCACAGAGCAGCAGUGGCCAGCAGGCUGGUGGCACAGUCUGGAGUUCACAAUCUUCACAUUGUUUUCUCAAGGCGUCUUCCAGGAUUGCUGAAGCAGAGAAGAGGGAACCGGAGGUCCACGCAUGAUGUCUUCACCCCUUCAGCCCACAAGCAGCACUUGUUGCUUCCGCUUGUGAUUAGCUACCUGCCAUGUCCACCUGCUGGGGGUGUGAGGCACGGUGAUGUGUAUGGGCAUGUGUCCUCAUGGACGGCCUUAAAAUUCUUGUUAUGUGAAAACCUGGAGCAGAUACACAACACAAGAUACACAAGCAUGGUAUCACUUUUUAAACCUAUGUAUGUGUAA